This is a long non-coding RNA of Acanthochromis polyacanthus (spiny chromis), 933 nucleotides long. RefSeq lists it as uncharacterized. NCBI's taxonomy places the organism in Eukaryota, Metazoa, Chordata, Actinopteri, Pomacentridae. The record is from RefSeq and is a predicted model, not a curated record. The transcript is spliced from 3 exons.
AGGCUGUGUGAAGCUGAGAGUUUGAACUGAUUUUCAGGCUGAAAUGCAGCUCCUGUGGAGGUAUUGGGUGUGAAGGUGGGUGUGGCACACCAAUGAGUCUGUGUGUGUGCGUGCGAACAUGCCUGCGCGUGUGUAAAGGCGGUUGCUAUGGGCCCCCAUAGCAACGGUGCCUGCCACAGACAGCAAAAAAGUGCUUCUCAGCAGCACCGCGCAACAUCUCGUUCUGGCGCUAACUGUGGGCUAACCGUGAAUGCUAGCUGAAAACCGAAAUGACCGUGAGCGAGAGGAAGGCUGUGGCUUUCCAUAAAUGUAAUUAUUUUCCAAAUAUUGUGAGAAAUGACCGAGUUACAGCGAUUUAAAAAACAUUGUCCCUCCAUGAGGCAGAUGAUUCAGUUUACAUUGGUUCUUAUGGAGAGAACGGUGCGACUUUUGUCUAAACUGCUGCCUGCCAUUUCACUUCAGAAAGAGCUAGGUCUUCAAACUUGGAUUCAUUUGAACCCCAGGAAAUUUGUCUACAAUCUGACCAAAUUUCAUUCCCCUGACAUUUAUCGUUUGGUCGUGAGGGCGAUGCGAUCGGGAAAUUUUCAGGCGGAUUUUUCACCUCUCCUCCACUCUACCAACUGACAUGCCGCACUCUAACCAGAGCAGAUUUUGAGAAUUUUCACUUUUUUGAGGACUCACUGAUGAAAAACUGUAAAUCUCAGCCUGACAUAAACUACAUUCCUGCGGAGACAAGAAAAAUCACUGCGUUUUGAUGGUUAAAUGAAGUUUCUAGGUGAACGUAUGGCGAAGCAGUGGCGUUUGGAAAAAAGUGGAUUUUUUGAGCCGAUUUUUUUCACUCCCCAUUCAUUUCCUAUGGGACUUUUUUCGCAGUUUUUUGCGAAUAAUUCUGCGAUAAAAUGACGAAUGUCUUAGAAAAGUCAUAGCACACUA